Molecule: long non-coding RNA, 2000 nt
Organism: Canis lupus familiaris (dog)
Lineage: Eukaryota; Metazoa; Chordata; Mammalia; Carnivora; Canidae
Exons: 3
Source: RefSeq, a predicted model, not a curated record
UGCCAAAUACAGCCAUGUUCUGAGUCCCUGGGGUUAGGACUUUAAAAUAUGAAUUUAUGAAAGGACACAUUUCAAGACAUUGCUUUCCUUAUCAGGGGAUGACCCAGAACACACCUCGUUUUCCAACUCUUUUAGAGCAUUGGUACAAUUGAGCUGUUAUAUAACAAGUAAGCCUGUAAGUAGCCAGUCACCUACAGUGAUUUAAGUUUAUAAAGGAUGGGAAAGAAGAAAGAUUUGGAAGAAUGAUAGCCAAUCAAAUCUCAGAGAAGCAAUGAAUGACUCUCUGGACAGAAGAGUAAAAACUAGAGAGAGGAAAACAGAAGGAUGAAGAUGAUAACACACUUAGAGAAAAAAAAGUCACACAGAGAGAGAGAGAGAGAGAGAGAGAGAGACACAGGCAGAGGGAGAAGCAGGCUCCAUGCACCGGGAGCCCGACGUGGGAUUCGAUCCCGGGUCUCCAGGAUCGCGCCCUGGGCCAAAGGCAGGCGCUAAACCGCUGCACCACCCAGGGAUCCCCUCACUGAGCAUUUCAACAUGUCUCCUGGCUUCCCUGAUUAGGAAGUAAGGCAGAAAUGGACUUAUGGAGGACUGAAGAUGAUGGGGCAAGAUGGAACACUGUUCACUUUCUAAGAGAAAACAGAUCUCCCUCUGCUGUGAUUUGAACUAAAGACCUUCUGAUCCCCAGAGACCUGCUCCUUCACAAGACCUCAAAAGAGUUUACUUGGAAUAAAUGAAUCUGAUUAAUCUAAUUUAUAUCAAAAAUAGCACAGAUGUGCCCUGAAUUUUUAGGGGAAGGAUGAAUCAGCAGUCCUGUCCAUCAUAAUGGCUGCAUUUUUUAGGCUUUCAAACACAGAGACGAUCUUUGCUUACUGAGGGAUAAGUCCUGCUAAUUGCAUGGCAUCUCUUAGGAUUUGGGUCAAAAUAAACAGUCUAUUUUUCUGACUUUUUAAAGAGAAGCUAUGAUCUUGUUUCCAUGCUUCUCUACCUUGCCUUGUCCUGACCUAUAAAAAUAACUUUGACAGAACAAAGAACUAGAACUAAAUAGAUUGUUUGUGAGAACGUCCUAUGAAUAGUUGUAUUUCCCCAUACUUUGAUUUUUCCUCUUAAGAUUUGUAUAUAUUAUUCUGUUUUACAUUUCCAUUCUCACAUCUGCUUUUCUGAGUGGCCACUGCCUUUAGAAGCAUCAAUAUAUAACCAUAGAAUAUAAAGUUUUAUACUACAUUCAACUUUGAUAUAUUUUGAAUAAGGAGCCCUUCUCUUAAUUGCACACUUACCAUUUCAUGAAUGUAGUUAUCCUCUUCGCUGACUGACCUAUUAUCCACCACCACCACCUUCACCAUCAUUAUCACAACCUCCCCAAUUUCUCUAUUUUCAUUUUAUCCUUUGUAUACUUCUUCCUUUACAUAACUUUUGUCUUGUUCACGCUUUUGAACUUUAAGGCUUUCACACCAAACUGACAAACUGAUUUACGUUCCAUUUUGAAAAGCAAAUUUAUAUCCCUGUCUUUUGUGAUUCCCUUUCUGGCUUAAUAUGCACAGGUCUAAAAACAGCUCUACAAUUAAAUUAAGAAUAUUAAAAUAUUUUUCAUUGGGAAAAUUUUUUCAUCUCCAACUCUGAUCUAUAACAAAACAGAUACCAAGGAAGGGGUAUAAUUCUUUUGAUAGUGGUCCUUUUUAAUGCUGAACUAAAGAAGGGAAGUGAAGGAGAUGAUAAAGCACUCAGCAACUCAAAGAAAGAGAAACUAAGUGCAAGGAGUAUUCAAAUGAAGGAUAAGUCAGUUCCAGUCAGGAACAUCAAGAAGAGCCUCCUGAUGUUGCUCUAUUUUGGUUUGAUCAUUGAUGAAUAGAUAGGGUUCAAGUGCAAGACACGUGUAGCACUUGGCCAGCUUCAGAUUUCUUAAAGCUGCUGACAGAUGAUAUUCUCAAAGAGAAAUGUGUACCAGAGUCAAAAGGUGGAACAAAUCAGAAUGGUAAGCAGUAUUAAUCAGCAGUCCUACUCAG